CGGACGGGUUAGUAACGCGUGGGAACGUACCCUUCUCUAAGGAAUAGCCACUGGAAACGGUGAGUAAUACCUUAUACGCCCUUCGGGGGAAAGAUUUAUCGGAGAAGGAUCGGCCCGCGUUAGAUUAGAUAGUUGGUGGGGUAACGGCCUACCAAGUCUACGAUCUAUAGCUGGUUUGAGAGGAUGAUCAGCAACACUGGGACUGAGACACGGCCCAGACUCCUACGGGAGGCAGCAGUGGGGAAUCUUAGACAAUGGGCGAAAGCCUGAUCUAGCCAUGCCGCGUGAGUGACGAAGGCCCUAGGGUCGUAAAGCUCUUUCGCUGGGGAAGAUAAUGACUGUACCCAGUAAAGAAACCCCGGCUAACUCCGUGCCAGCAGCCGCGGUAAUACGGAGGGGGUUAGCGUUGUUCGGAAUUACUGGGCGUAAAGCGCGCGUAGGCGGACUAUUAAGUCAGAGGUGAAAUCCCGGGGCUCAACCCCGGAACUGCCUUUGAUACUGGUAGUCUUGAGUUCGAGAGAGGUGAGUGGAAUUGCGAGUGUAGAGGUGAAAUUCGUAGAUAUUCGCAGGAACACCAGUGGCGAAGGCGGCUCACUGGC
Molecule: ribosomal RNA, 599 nt
Filed under: Vannielia litorea
Lineage: Bacteria; Pseudomonadati; Pseudomonadota; Alphaproteobacteria; Rhodobacterales; Paracoccaceae
Description: bacterial SSU rRNA
Rfam family: Bacterial small subunit ribosomal RNA
Source: RNAcentral